UAGGGAAUAUUGGACAAUGGGCGAAAGCCUGAUCCAGCCAUGCCGCGUGAGUGACGAAGGCCUUAGGGUUGUAAAACUCUUUCGUCGGGGACGAUAAUGACGGUACCCGAAGAAGAAGCUCCGGCUAACUUCGUGCCAGCAGCCGCGGUAAUACGAAGGGAGCUAGCGUUGUUCGGAAUCACUGGGCGUAAAGCGCACGUAGGCGGAUAGUUAAGUCAGGGGUGAAAUCCUGGGGCUCAACCCCAGAAUUGCCUUUGAUACUGGCUGUCUCGAGGUCGAGAGAGGUUGGUGGAAUUCCUAGUGUAGAGGUGAAAUUCGUAGAUAUUAGGAAGAACACCAGUGGCGAAGGCGGCCAACUGGCUCGAUACUGACGCUGAGGUGCGAAAGCGUGGGGAGCAAACAGGAUUAGAUACCCCCGUAGUCCCUGAGCGGGCUGGCAAGGCGCAU
This 447-nucleotide ribosomal RNA is filed under the name uncultured bacterium. RNAcentral's name for it is "bacterial SSU rRNA". It matches the Rfam family "Bacterial small subunit ribosomal RNA", at positions 355 to 825 of the family's 1533-position model. The record is from RNAcentral.